UUACUUACCCGGCCAGAGAGAUACCAUGAUCAGGCAGGUGGCUUUCCCAGGAAAAGGCUCAUCCCCUGCACUCCGGGUGGGCUGUCCCUGAGACUUCCCCAAAUGUGGGAAACUCGAAUGCAUGAUUUGUGGUAGCGUGAGACUCCAUUUGCACUCUUUUU
This is a small nuclear RNA of Cairina moschata (Muscovy duck), 161 nucleotides long. Its record names the gene U1. It matches the Rfam family "U1 spliceosomal RNA". From Rfam's summary of the family: U1 is a small nuclear RNA (snRNA) component of the spliceosome (involved in pre-mRNA splicing). NCBI's taxonomy places the organism in Eukaryota, Metazoa, Chordata, Aves, Anseriformes, Anatidae. The record is from Ensembl.